GGAUUCCUGGCAUAUUCGCCAGAUAUUUGUGUCCGCGAGCCGAUAUCAGCAAAUCAGGGGCAAGCUCGCAGCGUCGGUGUGCACGUCCGCUCGACGGAAAGCCUAAAGCACUGCAGUAAGUCCCGCCUUGAACCGUUGGGUUCAAGGGCGCCCUUAUCAGCGG
The sequence is a non-coding RNA, 163 nucleotides long. It matches the Rfam family "6S / SsrS RNA". Rfam says of the family: E. coli 6S RNA was the first non coding RNA to be sequenced, but its function was unknown until recently. It consists of 184 nucleotides that fold into an extended hairpin structure with a large single-stranded internal bulge.